AAACCGGGGCUAAUACCGGAUACGACCUUCGAGGGCAUCCUGGAAGGUGGAAAGGAUUCUGGCUAGGGAUGGGCCCGCGGCCUAUCAGCUUGUUGGUGGGGUAACGGCCUACCAAGGCGCCGACGGGUAGCCGGCCUGAGAGGGCGACCGGCCACACUGGGACUGAGACACGGCCCAGACUCCUACGGGAGGCAGCAGUGGGGAAUAUUGCACAAUGGGCGAAAGCCUGAUGCAGCGACGCCGCGUGAGGGAUGACGGCCUUCGGGUUGUAAACCUCUUUCAGCAGGGACGAAGCGAAAGUGACGGUACCUGCAGAAGAAGCACCGGCCAACUACGUGCCAGCAGCCGCGGUAAUACGUAGGGUGCAAGCGUUGUCCGGAAUUAUUGGGCGUAAAGAGCUCGUAGGCGGUUUGUCACGUCGGCUGUGAAAACCUGGGGCUCAACCCCGGGCCUGCAGCCGAUACGGGCAAACUAGAAUUCGGUAGGGGAGACUGGAAUUCCUGGUGUAGCGGUGAAAUGCGCAGAUAUCAGGAGGAACACCGGUGGCGAAGGCGGGUCUCUGGGCCGAUAUUGACGCUGAGGAGCGAAAGCGUGGGGAGCGAACAGGAUUAGAUACCCUGGUAGUCCACGCCGUAAACGUUGGGCGCUAGGUGUGGGCCACAUUCCACGUGGUCUGUGCCGCAGCUAACGCAUUAAGCGCCCCGCCUGGGGAGUACGGCCGCAAGGCUAAAACUCAAAGGAAUUGACGG
RNAcentral lists this ribosomal RNA (749 nucleotides) under uncultured bacterium. RNAcentral's name for it is "bacterial SSU rRNA". It matches the Rfam family "Bacterial small subunit ribosomal RNA", at positions 154 to 916 of the family's 1533-position model. The record is from RNAcentral.